This 861-nucleotide ribosomal RNA is filed under the name Wolbachia pipientis. RNAcentral's name for it is "bacterial SSU rRNA". It matches the Rfam family "Bacterial small subunit ribosomal RNA", at positions 105 to 1004 of the family's 1533-position model. The record is from RNAcentral. Lineage: Bacteria; Pseudomonadati; Pseudomonadota; Alphaproteobacteria; Rickettsiales; Anaplasmataceae.
GGUGAGUAAUGUAUAGGAAUCUACCUAGUAGUACGGAAUAAUUGUUGGAAACGACAACUAAUACCGUAUACGCCCUACGGGGGAAAAAUUUAUUGCUAUUAGAUGAGCCUAUAUUAGAUUAGCUAGUUGGUGGGGUAAUAGCCUACCAAGGUAAUGAUCUAUAGCUGAUCUGAGAGGAUGAUCAGCCACACUGGAACUGAGAUACGGUCCAGACUCCUACGGGAGGCAGCAGUGGGGAAUAUUGGACAAUGGGCGAAAGCCUGAUCCAGCCAUGCCGCAUGAGUGAAGAAGGCCUUUGGGUUGUAAAGCUCUUUUAGUGAGGAAGAUAAUGACGGUACUCACAGAAGAAGUCCUGGCUAACUCCGUGCCAGCAGCCGCGGUAAUACGGAGAGGGCUAGCGUUAUUCGGAAUUAUUGGGCGUAAAGGGCGCGUAGGCUGGUUAAUAAGUUAAAAGUGAAAUCCCGAGGCUUAACCUUGGAAUUGCUUUUAAAACUAUUAAUCUAGAGAUUGAAAGAGGAUAGGGGAAUUCCUGAUGUAGAGGUAAAAUUCGUAAAUAUUAGGAGGAACACCAGUGGCGAAGGCGUCUAUCUGGUUCAAAUCUGACGCUGAAGCGCGAAGGCGUGGGGAGCAAACAGGAUUAGAUACCCUGGUAGUCCACGCUGUAAACGAUGAAUGUUAAAUAUGGGGAGUUUACUUUCUGUAUUACAGCUAACGCGUUAAACAUUCCGCCUGGGGACUACGGUCGCAAGAUUAAAACUCAAAGGAAUUGACGGGGACCCGCACAAGCGGUGGAGCAUGUGGUUUAAUUCGAUGCAACGCGAAAACAAUUACCACUUCUUGACAUGAAAUAUGCCCUUUUCA